RNAcentral lists this long non-coding RNA (223 nucleotides) under Lathyrus oleraceus (garden pea). RNAcentral's name for it is "Pisum sativum (pea) long non-coding RNA (PSAT_LNC004981)". The record is from RNAcentral. Lineage: Eukaryota; Viridiplantae; Streptophyta; Magnoliopsida; Fabales; Fabaceae.
AUUGAUGGGGUAUGAGGUAAAUUUUUGUAAAACAAGUUAUUGUACAUAAGUAGAUUGAUAGUCAUAAGAAUAUAAAUACAACUCAAAAGGAUUACAAAAAUGCAAAAGGUCUAUAAAAAGUUCUAUCUACUGUGUCUCGAGCUCAUAGUUGAAUAAUGUCCUAUUGUAGGGGUGCCUUUAUGAAACUCACUUCUACGAUGGCAUCAUCGACCAUAGUUGCGAU